AAUUCAUUAAACAUUUCAGGGUCGGUCAUGAGAUUUUGAGUGCAAAACUUAAAUUGAGGAAAAAAAUCAUUGAUACGAAAGAUUUUUAUUUUUUUUGGUUGAAGAGAAUAAGAUUUCAUUGUCAAAUAAAGAUACAACUUACAAAGAAACUCAAAAUACAAAAGUCAAAAAAUAGAAAUACAGGGACUCCAUAACAAAAUAAAAAUCCAGCCUAAAAUACUAAAAUAGCAGGCCCAAAACAAAAAAAGCCCACAAAUUAUCAAAAUCGUAAAAUCUAACCCUAAACUAAGCUAGCCAUCAUCACCAUCAGUUACGCCGUCGCUGCCACAAGAAGAGCGAGGUCAAGAAGAACCAAGAAAGGAGAUCUAUAGAGUGUGGAUAUGAGAAAGCAAGCCACCGUGCAUCAUACUCAAGCGAUCUAUCAAGUAAUGGUCAAAAUCGACUAUAGAUUUACAUAAUAGAAAACAAAUUGACGAAAGUUAAACCACCAUAAUUAAUUAGAUUUUGUCUCUUUCAGAAUAGAAAAUAAAAAUGGAACCCUUGUAAGAUCGUUAACACUAGAAUCCACAUGGGUAUGAAGAUGAUAAACAUGAACAGUUUUGGUUUACCACCAUGCUAGCAAACCCUAAUUGGAUUUGGACCACUUGAUUAGGCAGGGAUAUAUAUAGCACUUCACCUAAAUCUCUGAGUGAUGAGGGACAGACUUCCAUUAUUUUAAAAUUUGAAUCAAACAUUAGAUUGAGAUUCCAUGGGCCCUUGGGCAAGCAAAACCUUGGCACAGCAGCUAAGAAAAAUCCAGAAUAGGCCUUUAGCCUGCCAGUGCCAGUGUCUAGCCCUGUGGGCCUGUCCACACUUCUGCAACAUCCAAUCAAAUGUUUAACUCUCUUUCUUUGGUUGCUGAGAAAGCAGAGGAAAUUGGAACAAAAUGUUGGAUGAAUCUUUUGGUGACGCAGCCCUGGUUCUUGUUAAUUUUGAACCAAAUUCUGUGCCAUUUCCUUGCGAAAUUUGAAUCUUUGUGACUUUACCGUGUUGGGCAUGUGAAUUUUCACCUUAUUACAAUCAUCAUCAACAAAAUCCUGAAAACAAACAACCAUGAAUGUUAUUUGUUUACUAUGCCGAUGAGGUUGAAUAAUUAUCAAGGAUUUUACUAAAGUCGGUCACUAUUUAGAUUGUUUAAUUUUCAGUUUAGUGGGCCCAAAGCCCAUAAACACAGAACCCAGAAUACAACAUCUUCUAAAGUCAAAGGCCUGCCAAUACACUCACGGGAGAGCGAAAUAUUUUAAGACCCAACCAAGUCGGCCCAGAUAGACCUCUAAUUACUCCAUGGAUGGUAAGUGGUCUCUCUGUGAGCUCCGCUCAAGUUGGGAUUUAUUUUUGGUCCUCAAACAGGGGUUUCUGCAAAUUUAUUUUACUUUAGGCCAUUUUCUGAAGAGUGGAUCAAACUGCUUAGGCAGCCAUUAGUUUACCCAUAUGACUGAAUGAGAGGACGCAAAUCCAAAAAAUACUUUUAAGCAAUUCGUGCAAGGCCUACCAUUAAAUUCUAGCUAUUUCAUGUAUUUUUGAAACAGACCUUCUGAUCAUAAAUUAUAGAGAACAAAGCAAAGAAGAAAUACAGAGAGAGGAGAUAUGGGGAAGAUGAUUGUUGAAAUUUCAAUGGGUAAACAUGAAAAACAACUGCCCACCUUCCCCGAAUUUGAUAUUGCAGGGAACUCUUUCGGAUCAGAGUGCAUUGAUUCUAGCACUACGCCGAUACACACAAUCCCUGCUCAUCCAAACCCACUAAACAUCAAUCAAAACCCUAAACCAAAAUCUAAAUCAUACACGCAAGUUGCAACAACAUAAAUAGAUACGCAGAGCCAGAGACA
Prunus persica (peach) is the source of this 1865-nucleotide long non-coding RNA. RefSeq lists it as uncharacterized. Lineage: Eukaryota; Viridiplantae; Streptophyta; Magnoliopsida; Rosales; Rosaceae. The record is from RefSeq and is a predicted model, not a curated record. The transcript has 2 exons.